RNAcentral lists this transfer RNA (72 nucleotides) under Camelus bactrianus (Bactrian camel). It matches the Rfam family "tRNA". Rfam says of the family: Transfer RNA (tRNA) molecules are approximately 80 nucleotides in length. Lineage: Eukaryota; Metazoa; Chordata; Mammalia; Artiodactyla; Camelidae. RNAcentral also lists the same sequence under 2 other names. The record is from Rfam by way of RNAcentral.
GAGGAUAUUGCUCAGCAGUAGAGUGCAUGCCUAACAAGCAUCAGGUCCUGGAUUCAAUCCCCAGUACCUCCA